This 484-nucleotide ribosomal RNA is filed under the name uncultured bacterium. RNAcentral describes it as "partial 16S ribosomal RNA". It matches the Rfam family "Bacterial small subunit ribosomal RNA", at positions 30 to 507 of the family's 1533-position model. The record is from RNAcentral.
AUUGAACGCUGGCGGCAGGCCUAACACAUGCAAGUCGAGCGGAUGAAGGGAGCUUGCUCCUGGAUUCAGCGGCGGACGGGUGAGUAAUGCCUAGGAAUCUGCCUGGUAGUGGGGGAUAACGUCCGGAAACGGGCGCUUAUACCGCAUACGUCCUGAGUGAGAAAGUGGGGGAUCUUCGGACCUCACGCUAUCAGAUGAGCCUAGGUCGGAUUAGCUAGUUGGUGGGGUAAAGGCCUACCAAGGCGACGAUCCGUAACUGGUCUGAGAGGAUGAUCAGUCACACUGGAACUGAGACACGGUCCAGACUCCUACGGGAGGCAGCAGUGGGGAAUAUUGGACAAAGGGCGAAAGCCUGAUCCAGCCAUGCCGCGUGUGUGAAGAAGGUCUUCGGAUUGUAAAGCACUUUAAGUUGGGAGGAAGGGCAGUAAGUUAAUACCUUGCUGUUUUGACGUUACCAACAGAAUAAGCACCGGCUAACUUCGUG